GCUAGGUUAGUUUAUUAAAAAUGUCCCCUUGUGGCGGGGAGGAUGGACACUAUAGUCCACUUGGUU
This 66-nucleotide transfer RNA is filed under the name Bryopa lata. RNAcentral's name for it is "tRNA-His". The record is from RNAcentral. Lineage: Eukaryota; Metazoa; Mollusca; Bivalvia; Clavagellidae.